UGGGGAAUUUUGGACAAUGGGCGCAAGCCUGAUCCAGCCAUGCCGCGUGCGGGAAGAAGGCCUUCGGGUUGUAAACCGCUUUUGUCAGGGAAGAAAUCUUCUGAGUUAAUACCUCGGGAGGAUGACGGUACCUGAAGAAUAAGCACCGGCUAACUACGUGCCAGCAGCCGCGGUAAUACGUAGGGUGCAAGCGUUAAUCGGAAUUACUGGGCGUAAAGCGUGCGCAGGCGGUUUUGUAAGACAGAGGUGAAAUCCCCGGGCUCAACCUGGGAACUGCCUUUGUGACUGCAAGGCUUGAGUGCGGCAGAGGGGGAUGGAAUUCCGCGUGUAGCAGUGAAAUUGCGUAGAUAUGCGGAGGAACACCGAUGGCGAAGGCAAUCCCCUGGGCCUGCACUGACGCUCAUGCACGAAAGCGUGGGGAGCAAAACAGGAUUAGA
RNAcentral lists this ribosomal RNA (437 nucleotides) under uncultured bacterium. RNAcentral's name for it is "partial 16S ribosomal RNA". It matches the Rfam family "Bacterial small subunit ribosomal RNA", at positions 355 to 782 of the family's 1533-position model. The record is from RNAcentral.